AGAGUUUGAUCCUGGCUCAGAAUCAACGCUGGCGGCGUGCCUAACACAUGCAAGUCGAACGCGACUGGGGACUUCGGUUCCCAGUUGAGUGGCGAACGGGUGAGUAACACGUGGGUGAUCUACCUUCGAGUGGGGGAUAACGUUCCGAAAGGAACGCUAAUACCGCAUGACGUUCUGGGUUUGAAGACCUGGAAACCAAAGCCGGGGACCGCAAGGCCUGGCGCUUGAAGAGGAGCCCGCGUCCGAUUAGCUAGUUGGCGGGGUAACGGCCCACCAAGGCGACGAUCGGUAGCCGGGCCUGAGAGGGGCGGACGGCCACACUGGGGACUGAGACACGGCCCAGACUCCUACGGGGAGGCAGCAGUGGGGGAAUUUGUUCACAAUGGGGCGCCAAGCCUGAUGAAGCAACGCCCCGUGGGGGGAUGGAAGGGCUUUCGGGGUCGUAAACCCCCGGUCGAAUGGGACGAAAAACCCCGCCGAUUUAACAAAACCCGGGGAAUGGACGGGUACCGGUUAAAGGGAGGCCACCGGCUAAAUUCUGGUGCCCAGCCACCGGCGGGUAAUAACAGAAGGUGGGAAAGCGUUGUUUCCGAAUUUACCUGGGGCGGUAAAGGGGCGCCGUAAGCGGCCCUUCUUAAGUCAGACCGUGGAAUCCCCCCGGCCUUUAACCCUGGGGAACUGCCGUCUGAUACUGGGGAGGGCCUGAGUAUGGGGAGAAGGGAUGUUACAAAUUCUCCGGUGUUACCGGUGAAAUGCGUACAAUAUCCUGGAAGGAUACCCGGUGGGGCGAAAGGCGGCGUUCCUGGACCAUCAACUUGACGGUUGAGAGCGCGCGAUAGUCUAGGGGCACCAACCCGGGGAUUAACUAUCCCCCGGGGUAGUCCCAGCCUUAACCGGAUGACAUAGGUUGGGUGUGGGCGGGGUUAUCUAUCCUCCGCCGGGGCCGGAAGGAUAUCCGCAUAUAAGUUUUCCCGCUUGGGGGAGUGCUGUUCGCAAGGUUUAAAAAUUCAAAGGGAAUUUGACGGGGCCCCCGCCACAAGCCGGUGGGACCAUGUGUUUCAUUUUCGCCGCAACGGAAAAGACCUUUCCUGGGGCUGAAAAAUCCAGAGGCCUUCCGAAAAAAAUUCGGUCUCCCCCCAAGGGCCUUCUUAUAUGGGUGCCCCAAUGGCUGUCUUUCAGCUUGGUGUCGUGAGGAUGUGGGUUUAAUUCCCCCAAACGAGCCCAACCCUUCUUUCUUUUGUUCCCUCCAGGUCAAGCUGGCCCUUUUGGGGAGGCCCCCCGGUGGUAUAAACCGGGAAGGAAGGUGGGGGAGGACGUCAGUUCACCAAUGCCCUUUAUGUCCCAGGGCCACCACACCGUGUUACAAUGGCGGAUACAAAGCGCUGCAAACCCGCCGAGGGGUGAGCCAAUCGCAUAAAGUCCGUCUCAGUUCGGAUUGUAGGCUGCAACUCGCCUGCAUGAAGUUGGAAUCGCUAGUAAUCGCGGAUCAGCAUGCCGCGGUGAAUACGUUCCCGGGCCUUGUACACACCGCCCGUCACAUCACGAAAGCUGGCUGUACUAGAAGUAGCUUCGCUAACCCGCAAGGGAGGCAGGUUCCUAAGGUAUGGUCAGUGAUUGGGGUGAAGUCGUAACAAGGUAACC
RNAcentral lists this ribosomal RNA (1641 nucleotides) under uncultured bacterium. RNAcentral describes it as "partial 16S ribosomal RNA". It matches the Rfam family "Bacterial small subunit ribosomal RNA". The record is from RNAcentral.